This 253-nucleotide ribosomal RNA is filed under the name uncultured bacterium. RNAcentral describes it as "partial 16S ribosomal RNA". It matches the Rfam family "Bacterial small subunit ribosomal RNA", at positions 524 to 776 of the family's 1533-position model. The record is from RNAcentral.
UACGAAGGGGGCUAGCGUUGUUCGGAUUUACUGGGCGUAAAGCGCACGUAGGCGGAUCGUUAAGUCAGGGGUGAAAUCCUGGAGCUCAACUCCAGAACUGCCUUUGAUACUGAGGAUCUUGAGUUCGGGAGAGGUGAGUGGAACUGCGAGUGUAGAGGUGAAAUUCGUAGAUAUUCGCAAGAACACCAGUGGCGAAGGCGGCUCACUGGCCCGAUACUGACGCUGAGGCACGAAAGCGUGGGGAGCAAACAGG